UACGAAGGGGGGCUAGCGUUGCUCGGAAUUACUGGGCGUAAAGCGCACGUAGGCGGAUCUUUAAGUCAGGGGUGAAAUCCUGGAGCUCAACUCCAGAACUGCCUUUGAUACUGAGGACCUUGAGUUCGGGAGAGGUGAGUGGAACUGCGAGUGUAGAGGUGAAAUUCGUAGAUAUUCGCAAGAACACCAGUGGCGAAGGCGGCUCACUGGCCCGAUACUGACGCUGAGGCACGAAAGCGUGGGGAGCAAACAGG
Molecule: ribosomal RNA, 254 nt
Filed under: uncultured bacterium
Lineage: Bacteria
Description: partial 16S ribosomal RNA
Rfam family: Bacterial small subunit ribosomal RNA
Source: RNAcentral